RNAcentral lists this ribosomal RNA (406 nucleotides) under uncultured bacterium. Its description in RNAcentral is "partial 16S ribosomal RNA". It matches the Rfam family "Bacterial small subunit ribosomal RNA", at positions 30 to 526 of the family's 1533-position model. The record is from RNAcentral.
AUUGAACGCUGGCGGCAGGCCUAACACAUGCAAGUCGCACGAGUGGAGGACGGGUGAGUAAUGUCUGGGAAACCGCCUGAUGGAGGGGGAUCACUACUGGAAACGGUCGCUAAUACCGCAUUCCCUCGGAUGUGCCCAGAUGGGAUUAGCUAGUAGGGGGGGUAAAGGCACACAUAGGCGACGAUCCCUAGCUGGUCUGAGAGGAUGACCGGCCACACGGGAACUGAGACACGGGCCAGACUCCUACGGGAGGAAGCAUGGGGGAAUAUUGGACAAUGGGCGAAAGCCUGAUCCAGCCAUGCCGAGUGUGUGAAGAAGGUCUUCGGAUUGUAAAGCACUUUAAGUUGGGAGGCGUUACCAACAGAAGAAGCACCGGCUAACUUCGUGCCAGCAGCCGCGGUAAUAC